CAGUAACAGAGGUGAAUGAAAAGAGAAGACACUGUGUUUGUGUUUUCUCUUGGUUAGAAUGCUGUGAGUCAGGACCUCAGCUGCUGGGUGUCCUGGAACUGCCUUUGGUAGAUGUCUCCAAACUGGGUCUCUGCCACUGCUUUGUUCCAGUUGAAGAGUUUAUAUUAAAUAUGUUGAUGUCAAAAGAACAGGGUGUCUCACCAUCUCAGAGGUAAGUUGAGGAUGUGAGAUGCUUCUUUUCUACACCAAACUGCUCAGUUAAUUUGCCCUCACUCUGCCACUGCUUGAAUUAUCAAAUUAAAGUAAAGUCUUUCCCAUGUGCCUGUCUGAAACAUCGA
Molecule: long non-coding RNA, 338 nt
Filed under: Callithrix jacchus (white-tufted-ear marmoset)
Lineage: Eukaryota; Metazoa; Chordata; Mammalia; Primates; Cebidae
Description: lncRNA (ENSCJAG00000084254.1)
Source: RNAcentral